Molecule: long non-coding RNA, 312 nt
Organism: Ornithodoros turicata
Lineage: Eukaryota; Metazoa; Arthropoda; Arachnida; Ixodida; Argasidae
Exons: 4
Source: RefSeq, a predicted model, not a curated record
AGUACACAUCAGCAUAAAAAGUGCAUUUGGAGAGGACGAAGGAACGCUGGAAUUGACCUCCUCAAACACCAUGAGCAUGCAUGGACAGUAAAAGGCGUUUUUUGCUCUGGAGAUGGAAUGGGAGAGGAAGAACGUCCAUCGAAAUGUGGCCUCGGCAAACACCAAGAGUAAAAGGUGCUCUUUGCUCUGGAGAUGGAAUGGGAGAGGAAGAACGUCCAUCGAAAUGUGGCCUCGGCAAACACCCAAGAGUAAAAGGUGCUCUUUGCUCUGGAGAUGGAAUGGAGAGGAACAACGUCCAUCGAAAUGUGGCCU